AUUUCCCAGCCUUUUGCUGAGAUUAAGUGCAUCAUCUUUUCUUAUCAUUUUAAUAUAUGAUACAUUCUCAGCUGAAGAUUUUGUAUUAAAUGAAUUUGGAGGGCAUGGGAAGGAGUACCUGCU
This 123-nucleotide small nuclear RNA is filed under the name Melopsittacus undulatus (budgerigar). Its description in RNAcentral is "U2 spliceosomal RNA (ENSMUNG00000012785.2)". It matches the Rfam family "U2 spliceosomal RNA", at positions 1 to 130 of the family's 192-position model. From Rfam's summary of the family: U2 is a small nuclear RNA (snRNA) component of the spliceosome (involved in pre-mRNA splicing). Complementary binding between U2 snRNA (in an area lying towards the 5' end but 3' to hairpin I) and the branchpoint sequence (BPS) of the intron results the bulging out of an unpaired adenosine, on the BPS, which initiates a nucleophilic attack at the intronic 5' splice site, thus starting the first of two transesterification reactions that mediate splicing. The record is from Rfam by way of RNAcentral. Lineage: Eukaryota; Metazoa; Chordata; Aves; Psittaciformes; Psittaculidae.